AAAGCUUUAAGUUAAAAAAACUAUUAACCUUCAAAGUUAAAAAUAUAAUAUCAUUUUAUAAGCUUUA
RNAcentral lists this transfer RNA (67 nucleotides) under Amblythyreus gestroi. Its description in RNAcentral is "tRNA-Trp". Lineage: Eukaryota; Metazoa; Arthropoda; Insecta; Hemiptera; Phymatidae. The record is from RNAcentral.